This 460-nucleotide RNase P RNA is filed under the name Bacteroidales bacterium. RNAcentral describes it as "RNase P RNA component class A". It matches the Rfam family "Bacterial RNase P class A". Rfam says of the family: Ribonuclease P (RNase P) is a ubiquitous endoribonuclease, found in archaea, bacteria and eukarya as well as chloroplasts and mitochondria. Its best characterised activity is the generation of mature 5'-ends of tRNAs by cleaving the 5'-leader elements of precursor-tRNAs. Cellular RNase Ps are ribonucleoproteins. The record is from RNAcentral. Lineage: Bacteria; Pseudomonadati; Bacteroidota; Bacteroidia; Bacteroidales.
GCAGUCGGACAGUUCGUCGCUCACAUCCGCUUGUGAUGCGAGAGGAAAGUCCGGGCAGCAUAGGGCAUUCCGCUGGUUAACGGCCAGUAGUCAGCAAUGGCUAAUGAGUGUAGAAGAAAAUAACCGCCUCUGGAAGAGCGCGCCCUGCUUAACGGUAGGGAUUGUGCCAUGGGAGGUAAGGGUGAGAAGGUGGGGUAAGAGCCCACCAGGCGGCUGGCGACAGUCGUGCUGUGCACAUCGGAAGAUGAAAGUUCGCGUAUACCAUCGUCACAAGGGCGGCCCGCUCGAUGCGCUUCUUCGGAUUCGCUACGAUGGAGGGUAGAACGAUACAGGCGAGGCAGUAAUGUCCGUCGUAGAUAAAUGACGAGCACCUCGGGUGGCAAAGCCACCAUGUUUCACAACCUUUGGCUUUGACACAUUUACCGAGGCACAGAACCCGGCUCAUCGGCCGUCUGCAUCU